This 369-nucleotide ribosomal RNA is filed under the name uncultured bacterium. RNAcentral describes it as "bacterial SSU rRNA". It matches the Rfam family "Bacterial small subunit ribosomal RNA", at positions 527 to 898 of the family's 1533-position model. The record is from RNAcentral.
GGAGGGUGCAAGCGUUAUCCGGAUUCACUGGGUUUAAAGGGUGCGUAGGUGGAUUGGUAAGUCAGUGGUGAAAUCCCCGAGCUUAACUUGGGAACUGCCGUUGAUACUAUCAAUCUUGAAUAACGUGGAGGUAAGCGGAAUAUGUCAUGUAGCGGUGAAAUGCUUAGAUAUGACAUAGAACACCCAUUGCGAAGGCAGCUUACUACACGAUCAUUGACACUGAGGCACGAAAGCGUGGGGAGCAAACAGGAUUAGAUACCCUGGUAGUCCACGCCCUAAACGAUGGAUACUCGACAUCAGCGAUACACUGUUGGUGUCUGAGCGAAAGCAUUAAGUAUCCCACCUGGGAAGUACGAUCGCAAGAUUGAA